RNAcentral lists this ribosomal RNA (498 nucleotides) under uncultured Acidobacteriota bacterium. RNAcentral describes it as "bacterial SSU rRNA". It matches the Rfam family "Bacterial small subunit ribosomal RNA", at positions 8 to 483 of the family's 1533-position model. Lineage: Bacteria; Pseudomonadati; Acidobacteriota. The record is from RNAcentral.
AGAGUUUGAUCAUGGCUCAGAAUCAACGCUGGCGGCGUGCCUCAGACAUGCAAGUCGAACGCGAAAGUCCCCUUCGGGGGGCAAGUAGAGUGGCGCACGGGUGAGUAACACGUAGGUAAUCUACCUUUGGAUUGGGAAUAACAACCGGAAACGGUUGCUAAUACCGAAUAAUGCAGCGGCACCUAGUGGUGACAGUUGUUAAAGCGGGGGAUCGCAAGACCUCGCGUCUGAAGAGGAGCCUGCGGCAGAUUAGCUAGUUGGUAAGGUAACGGCUUACCAAGGCGAUGAUCUGUAGCCGGCCUGAGAGGGCGGUCGGCCACACUGACACUGACAUACGGGUCAGACUCCUACGGGAGGCAGCAGUCGGGAAUUUUGGGCAAUGGGCGAAAGCCUUACCCAGCAACGCCGCGUGAAGGAUGAAAUCCUUCGGGGAUGUAACUUCGCAAGAACGGGAAAAAUAAGUAAGGGUUAAUAUCUCUUACGAUGACGGUACUGUUU